This 253-nucleotide ribosomal RNA is filed under the name uncultured bacterium. Its description in RNAcentral is "partial 16S ribosomal RNA". It matches the Rfam family "Bacterial small subunit ribosomal RNA", at positions 524 to 776 of the family's 1533-position model. The record is from RNAcentral.
UACGUAGGGUGCGGGCGUUAAUCGGAAUUACUGGGCGUAAAGGGUGCGCAGGCGGUUCUGCAAGUCAGGCGUGAAAGCCCCGGGCUUAACCUGGGAAUGGCGCUUGAAACUACAGGACUGGAGUAUGGCAGAGGGAGGUGGAAUUCCACGUGUAGCGGUGAAAUGCGUAGAGAUGUGGAGGAACACCGAUGGCGAAGGCAGCCUCCUGGGCCAAUACUGACGCUAAUGCACGAAAGCGUGGGGAGCAAACAGG